Molecule: long non-coding RNA, 857 nt
Filed under: Mytilus galloprovincialis (Mediterranean mussel)
Lineage: Eukaryota; Metazoa; Mollusca; Bivalvia; Mytilida; Mytilidae
Source: RNAcentral
GUAAUAAUUGGCAAAUUUAGUGUAUUGCGUUCAUUACAGUUUAUUUAAGUAAAUAUUGUAAUAUUGUUUUCUAUGGAAAAAUAACAUCAAAAAUAGGGUGCACACUGUAUUACCGCGUAGUGGGCGCAAAACAUUUGUUUAGGUUAUUUUGAAUAGACAGAAUAGAUGUCACAUUCUAAUUUUCAUUCCUUAUAAUUUAAUUCUAACUAGAAGAUUCCCGCGAAAUCGCGGUACAAUUGGGCAAGUGGACGCAAGAGGAGGAUCACUCCGUCACGUUCAACGGCAUUUUUAUUUUUGGACAGUUCUGCACCUGAGUAAAAAGGGUGGAUGUCGUUUAAUUUAGCAAUUUGCCAAAAUGAUGAACUUACAAAACAGGAUCCUUAUAGGCAUAACUGUCCUAAAUUCUAUCCUUUCUUGAAGUUCUUACUUUCACUUGGAUUUCGCGGGCAGUACGUCGACUGAGCAGGCGCGAAAGCAUAUUAGACACGGAUCGAUAACGGUCUCCGAAUUUGGAUAUGUUCUCAAAAAAUUGGCGUUUUCUGUGGAAAAAAGAUUUUUUCAAAGACAAAUUUAGGAAGAACAAAACACUACAUUUAUACAGCCUAUCACAAAUUUUUACCGACUUUGUAUGGGUUUAGAGGAGUUCCGACUCAAUGAAAUCGGUCUCUUCCUUUAGUAGUAUAGAAUCCGUUUUUAACGAGUAAAUCAUGAAAAAACGUUAGCGACGUCACGGCCUAAUGACAAAAGUAUGUCUAUGAGCUGAUACACAAAAUAAUUCAGCCAAUUAGAAGACGUGCUACAUGUACAUCAAAAAUAAAAUUAUCAAAAAAAUAUAGUUAAUGAUACGUAAAAUAACC